This 512-nucleotide ribosomal RNA is filed under the name Buttiauxella sp. ARE_As27_B. Its description in RNAcentral is "bacterial SSU rRNA". It matches the Rfam family "Bacterial small subunit ribosomal RNA", at positions 1000 to 1512 of the family's 1533-position model. Lineage: Bacteria; Pseudomonadati; Pseudomonadota; Gammaproteobacteria; Enterobacterales; Enterobacteriaceae. The record is from RNAcentral.
GUAGAGAUACCUUAGUGCCUUCGGGAACUGUGAGACAGGUGCUGCAUGGCUGUCGUCAGCUCGUGUUGUGAAAUGUUGGGUUAAGUCCCGCAACGAGCGCAACCCUUAUCCUUUGUUGCCAGCGGUUCGGCCGGGAACUCAAAGGAGACUGCCAGUGAUAAACUGGAGGAAGGUGGGGAUGACGUCAAGUCAUCAUGGCCCUUACGAGUAGGGCUACACACGUGCUACAAUGGCGCAUACAAAGAGAAGCGACCUCGCGAGAGCAAGCGGACCUCAUAAAGUGCGUCGUAGUCCGGAUCGGAGUCUGCAACUCGACUCCGUGAAGUCGGAAUCGCUAGUAAUCGUAGAUCAGAAUGCUACGGUGAAUACGUUCCCGGGCCUUGUACACACCGCCCGUCACACCAUGGGAGUGGGUUGCAAAAGAAGUAGGUAGCUUAACCUUCGGGAGGGCGCUUACCACUUUGUGAUUCAUGACUGGGGUGAAGUCGUAACAAGUAAACCGUAAAGAAUUA